This 500-nucleotide ribosomal RNA is filed under the name uncultured Glomeromycotina. RNAcentral's name for it is "partial small subunit ribosomal RNA". It matches the Rfam family "Eukaryotic small subunit ribosomal RNA", at positions 591 to 1092 of the family's 1831-position model. Lineage: Eukaryota; Fungi; Glomeromycota. The record is from RNAcentral.
CCAAUAGCGUAUAUUAAAGUUGUUGCAGUUAAAAAGCUCGUAGUUGAAUUUCGGGGUCAGCAAGUUGGUCGUGCCACUGGUAUGUACUGGCUUUGCUGAUUCCUCCUUCUUGUAGAACCGUAAUGCCAUUAAUUUGGUGUUGCGGGGAAACAGGACUGUUACUUUGAAAAAAUUAGAGUGUUUAAAGCAGGCUAACGCUUGAAUACAUUAGCAUGGAAUAAUGAAAUAGGACGAGCGAUCCUAUUUUGUUGGUUUCUAGGAUUGACGUAAUGAUUAAUAGGGAUAGUUGGGGGCAUUAGUAUUCAAUUGUCAGAGGUGAAAUUCUUGGAUUUAUUGAAGACUAACUACUGCGAAAGCAUUUGCCAAGGAUGUUUUCAUUAAUCAAGAACGAAAGUUAGGGGAUCGAAGACGAUCAGAUACCGUCGUAGUCUUAACCAUAAACUAUGCCGACUAGGGAUCGGAUGAUGUUAAUUUUAUAAUGACUCAUUCGGCGCCUUACG